UACGUAGGGGGCGAGCGUUGUCCGGAUUUAUUGGGCGUAAAGAGCUCGUAGGCGGUCUGUCACGUCGAAUGUGAAAAUCCGGGGCUCAACCCCGGACCUGCAUUCGAUACGGGCAGACUAGAGUUCGGUAGGGGAGUCUGGAAUUCCUGGUGUAGCGGUGAAAUGCGGUAGAGAUCGGGAGGAACACCAGUGGGCGAAGGCGGCCUACCGUGGACCGAG
Molecule: ribosomal RNA, 219 nt
Filed under: uncultured bacterium
Lineage: Bacteria
Description: partial 16S ribosomal RNA
Rfam family: Bacterial small subunit ribosomal RNA
Source: RNAcentral